Molecule: long non-coding RNA, 428 nt
Organism: Xenia sp. Carnegie-2017
Lineage: Eukaryota; Metazoa; Cnidaria; Anthozoa; Malacalcyonacea; Xeniidae
Exons: 2
Source: RefSeq, a predicted model, not a curated record
ACCACUGUUCUCUGCAUUAUACCUCUCUGGAAAGCAGUACAAGGGAUCUGGUAUUCCUUUGGGUGACCUUGAAUAUUUUUGUUUUCGUACUCUAUGUGAGUUCCAAAUAAAAGAGCGAAAAGUGUCCAGUUCCUUUUGAAGUACAGGUUUGUUUUUCUUUUAUAUUUAUUGGGAUUUUUCAAAAGAUUUUGAAUGACAACAAUGGGCCACCAUACAAUACUACAUAAUGCUGAUUACCUCUAAUGCUGACACAGAGAUUACUGUGUUAGUUAGCAAUAAUCUAAUACAAGAUAACAUCAAGUAAAGCCUCAGUCUUAAUUAAAAAUAUAUAAUUUGUAAAUAUAGCAUAUAUACGCGACUGAGUUCACUUAGCUCAGUGACCUGAAACAUAAGUGUAUUAUAAUUAGCUAUUAAAGAUAAUUCAAAAA